Molecule: ribosomal RNA, 649 nt
Filed under: uncultured marine eukaryote
Lineage: Eukaryota
Description: SSU rRNA
Rfam family: Eukaryotic small subunit ribosomal RNA
Source: RNAcentral
UGGUUAAAAAGCUCGUAGUUGGAUCUCGGCGGUCUGAGGGCGGUUCGCUUGAUUGAGUGCUACUGCUCUAUAGGCCGUGGUUUUGCCAGAGGUCUCGGGGUGCUCUUAACCGAGUGUCCUGCGAUGCUGGCAGGUUUACUUUGAAAAAAUUAGAGUGCUCAAAGCAGGCUUUUACGCCUGAAUAUUCGUGCAUGGAAUAAUAGAAUAGGAAGUCGUUUCUAUUUUGUUGGUUUUCGGAAAUCGACUUAAUGAUUAAUAGGGACAGUCGGGGGCAUUUGUAUUCAAACGACAGAGGUGAAAUUCUUGGACCGUUUGAAGACAAACUACUGCGAAAGCAUUUGCCAAGAAUGUUUUCAUUAAUCAAGAACGAAAGUUAGAGGUUCGAAGGCGAUUAGAUACCGCCCUAGUUCUAACCAUAAACGAUGCCAGCUAGCGAUCUGCCGACGUUUUCUUUGUAGACUCGGCAGGAAGCUUCCGGGAAACCAAAGCAUUUGGGUUCCAGGGGAAGUAUGGUUGCAAAGCUGAAACUUAAAGGAAUUGACGGAAGGGCACCACCAGGAGUGGAGCCUGUGGCUUAAUUUGACUCAACACGGGAAAUCUCACCAGGCCCGGACACUGGAAGGAUUGACAGAUUGAUAGCUCUUUCUGU